Molecule: ribosomal RNA, 497 nt
Filed under: uncultured bacterium
Lineage: Bacteria
Description: partial 16S ribosomal RNA
Rfam family: Bacterial small subunit ribosomal RNA
Source: RNAcentral
GAUGAACGCUGGCGGCGUGCCUAAUACAUGCAAGUCGAGCGAACAGAUGAGGAUCUUGCUCCUCUGACGUUAGCGGCGGACGGGUGAGUAACACGUGGAUAACCUACCUAUAAGACUGAGAUAACUUCGGGAAACCGGAGCUAAUACCGGGUAAUAUAUUGAACCGCAUGGUUCAAUAAUGAAAGACGGGUUUUGUGUCACUUAUCGGUCGAUCCGCGCCUCAUUAGCUAGUUGGUAAGGUAAGGGGUUACCAAGGCAACGACGCGUAGACGACCUGGGAGGGUGAUCGGCCACACUGGAACUGGGACACCGUCCAGACUCCUACGGGAGGCAGCAGUAGGGAAUCGUCCGCAAUGGGCGAAAGCCUGACGGAGCAACGCCGAGUGAGUGAUGAAGGUCUUCGGAUCGUAAAACUCUGUUAUUAGGGAAGAACCAAUGUGUAAGUAACUAUGCACGUCUUGACGGUACCUAAUCAGAAAGCCACGGCUAACUACGUG